GACGAACGCUGGCGGCGUGCCUAAUACAUGCAAGUAGAACGCACAGUUUAUACCGUAGCUUGCUACACCAUAGACUGUGAGUUGCGAACGGGUGAGUAACGCGUAGGUAACCUGCCUGGUAGCGGGGGAUAACUAUUGGAAACGAUAGCUAAUACCGCAUAAUAUUAAUUACUGCAUGAUAAUUAAUUGAAAGGUGCAAUUGCACCACUACCAGAUGGACCUGCGUUGUAUUAGCUAGUAGGUGAGGUAACGGCUCACCUAGGCGACGAUACAUAGCCGACCUGAGAGGGUGAUCGGCCACACUGGGACUGAGACACGGCCCAGACUCCUACGGGAGGCAGCAGUAGGGAAUCUUCGGCAAUGGACGAAAGUCUGACCGAGCAACGCCGCGUGAGUGAAGAAGGUUUUCGGAUCGUAAAGCUCUGUUGUAAGAGAAGAACGGGUGUGAGAGUGGAAAGUUCACACUGUGACGGUAUCUUACCAGAAAGGGACGGCUAACUACGUG
RNAcentral lists this ribosomal RNA (505 nucleotides) under uncultured bacterium. RNAcentral describes it as "partial 16S ribosomal RNA". It matches the Rfam family "Bacterial small subunit ribosomal RNA", at positions 28 to 507 of the family's 1533-position model. The record is from RNAcentral.